Molecule: non-coding RNA, 26 nt
Filed under: Mus musculus (house mouse)
Lineage: Eukaryota; Metazoa; Chordata; Mammalia; Rodentia; Muridae
Source: RNAcentral
UGUCAGGUGCUUAAGCUUUUGUGCAG